This 973-nucleotide long non-coding RNA is filed under the name Marmota monax (woodchuck). The record is from RNAcentral. Lineage: Eukaryota; Metazoa; Chordata; Mammalia; Rodentia; Sciuridae.
UCAGGAUUCAAGCAGCAGGAGUACUCCUUCUCAAUGGGUGAAUGAGGGUGUUUUAGUUAGCUUUUCCAUCACUGUCACCAAAAGACUUGAAAAGAAUAAUUUAAUAGGAGAAAAAAAUUUCUCUGGGGGCUCAUGGUUUCAAGGUUCUCAGUCCAUAAAUGGCCAACUCCAUUCCUAGGGGCCUACAUUGAGGCAUAGUAUCAAGGAGGAAGAGUGUGGUGGAGGAAAUGCUCUCAUAAACCCAAUCAUUACACCUCUAAAUCCUCUUGCACUGUCUCACACAUGAGUUUUGGGGGUACACCCAAUAUCUAAAUCAUAACAGAGGGAUUUCACUAAAAUUCAAUAUUGUCUGAGUGUCUUCGAAAUUUAGAAUCUUAGAUGCGUAGAAUUUAGAACAAGAAAGAGUACAUUGGAGCUAAAUCACAUUGUACUGCAGUAGCAGGGGGUCUCUAUAAAAAGGAUGGAUAACACAGAGAGAAACACAGUGGACAGAAUUGGCAUGGUAAAUGCUGGAGAUCAGAAACGCAGAUUAAACUCUGCUGUUCCAGAAGCUACACAGUGAACUGAUGUUUGGAAAAUUCUCUAUAUUUCUUAACUGGCCCUGGAAAGCUGAGGCCAUACUGUUCCAACAAGUGCCUAUAUGUGGGCUAGAGUGUACCUAGCAGAGAAUGAGUAAAACAAAUGCAAGGAUCGCACCCAGGUAAAUUUAAGUCAAAAAGAAAUAUGAAGCCAACUCAUUUUUCCCUUUGAAUCUGGCAGCUCACGUGACCAGUUGAAGAGAGAUGGGAAACUGAACAGGAGGGUGUAUACACUCAGGGACUAAGCCUGAGAAGUCUGUGUUUGUGGGUAGCAGAGUGUGUGGAUUGACUCGUCUGCUGCACAAGUGGAAUGCUUGGGAGCACCCUGACAUGCAAACUCCCAGCGAAAAUCAGCAUUUGCCAGGUCUUCAGGACUUGUUGGUCUGAUCUCUCCA